AGAGUUUGAUCCUGGCUCAGGACAAACGCUGGCGGCGUACCUAAGACAUGCAAGUCGGACGGGUGCACCCACUUCGGUGRGUGUGCGAGUGGCGGACGGGUGAGUAACGCGUAGGAACCUGACGCGCAGUGGGGGAUAACGCUGGGAAACUGGCGCUAAGACCGCAUGUGGUCUCCUGUCGUUCGUGAGAGGAGAAGAAAGCCGAUGAGGCGCUGUGCGAGGGGCCUGCGUCCGAUUAGCUGGUUGGUGGGGUAAAGGCCUACCAAGGCGACGAUCGGUAGCUGGUCUGAGAGGAUGGUCAGCCACACUGGGACUGAGACACGGCCCAGACUCCUACGGGAGGCAGCAGUUAGGAAAUUUUCACAAUGGGCGCAAGCCUGAUGGAGUAACGCCGCGUGGAGGAUGACGGCCUUCGGGUUGUAAACUCCUUUUCUGUGGGACGAGAAGCAGACGGUACCACAGGAAGAAGCCUCGGCUAACUACGUGCCAGCAGCCGCGGUAAUACGUAGGAGGCGAGCGUUGUCCGGAAUUACUGGGCGUAAAGAGCGCGUAGGCGGCACGGUACGACUGGUGUGAAAGCCCCCGGCUCAACUGGGGAGGGUCACCGGUAACGGCCGAGCUAUGAGUGCAGGAGAGGGAAGUGGAACUCCGGGAGUAGCGGUGAAAUGCGUAGAGACCCGGAGGAACACCAGUGGCGAAGGCGGCUUCCUGGCCUGCGACUGACGCUGUGGCGCGAAAGCUAGGGGAGCGAACGGGAUUAGAUACCCCGGUAGUCCUAGCCGUAAACGAUGGACACUCGGUGUGCGUGGUAUCGACCCCACGCGUGCCGGAGCUAACGCAGUAAGUGUCCCGCCUGGGGAGUAUGCCGCAAGGCUAAAACUCAAAGGAAUUGACGGGGACCCGCACAAGCAGCGGAGCGUGUGGUUUAAUUCGACGCAACGCG
RNAcentral lists this ribosomal RNA (943 nucleotides) under uncultured bacterium. RNAcentral describes it as "bacterial SSU rRNA". It matches the Rfam family "Bacterial small subunit ribosomal RNA", at positions 8 to 963 of the family's 1533-position model. The record is from RNAcentral.